RNAcentral lists this ribosomal RNA (499 nucleotides) under uncultured bacterium. RNAcentral's name for it is "partial 16S ribosomal RNA". It matches the Rfam family "Bacterial small subunit ribosomal RNA", at positions 28 to 507 of the family's 1533-position model. The record is from RNAcentral.
GACGAACGCUGGCGGCGUGCUUAACACAUGCAAGUCGAACGGGCCCGCUCUCUUUUUUGGGGGUGGGUUGAGUGGCGAACGGGUGAGUAUCACGUGAGUAACCUGCCCCCUGCUCCUGGAUAACUGCUUGAAAGGGCGGCUAAUACGGGGUGUGCCGGCUGGUCCGCAUGGGCCUGGUCGGGAUAGUUUCAUCUUCGGGUGUUUCGGUGGGGGAUGGGCUCGCGGCCUAUCAGCUUGUUGGUGGGGUGAUGGCCCACCAAGGCGGUGACGGGUAGCCGGCCUGAGAGGGUGGGCGGCCACACUGGGACUGGGACACGGCCCAGACUCCUGCGGGAGGCAGCAGUGGGGGGUAUUGCGCAAUGGGCGGAAGCCUGAUGCAGCGACGUCGCGUGAGGGAUGGAGGCCUUCGGGUUGUGAACCUCUUUCUCCGGUGGUGAAGGCCCUGUCCGUUGCGGCGGGGUUGACGGUAGCCGGGUAUGAAGCGCCGGCUAACUACGUG